CUGGGUCUUGCUUCAACAGUGUUUGGACGGAACAA
This is a non-coding RNA of Rattus norvegicus (Norway rat), 35 nucleotides long. The record is from Rfam. NCBI's taxonomy places the organism in Eukaryota, Metazoa, Chordata, Mammalia, Rodentia, Muridae.